ACCUGGCUGGCUCAGUUGAUACAGCAUAAGACUCUUGAUCUUGGGGUCGUGGGUUCAAGCCCCACGUUGGGUA
Molecule: transfer RNA, 73 nt
Filed under: Ailuropoda melanoleuca (giant panda)
Lineage: Eukaryota; Metazoa; Chordata; Mammalia; Carnivora; Ursidae
Rfam family: tRNA
About the family: Transfer RNA (tRNA) molecules are approximately 80 nucleotides in length.
Source: Rfam by way of RNAcentral